Molecule: ribosomal RNA, 497 nt
Filed under: uncultured bacterium
Lineage: Bacteria
Description: partial 16S ribosomal RNA
Rfam family: Bacterial small subunit ribosomal RNA
Source: RNAcentral
GAUGAACGCUGGCGGCGUGCCUAAUACAUGCAAGUCGAGCGAACAGACGAGGAGCUUGCUCCUCUGACGUUAGCGGCGGACGGGUGAGUAACACGUGUAUAACCUACCUAUAAUACUGGGAUAACUUCGAGAAACCGGAUCUAAUACCGUAUAAUAUAUUGAACCGCAGGGGUCAAUAGUGAAAUACGGUUUUGCUGGCACUUAUAGAGGGAUCCGCGCCGCAUGAGCUAGUUGGGAAGGUAACGGCUUCCCAAGGCAACGAUGCGUAGCCGACGGGAGAGGGUGAUAGGCCGCCCUGGAACUGGACCACGGUCCAGGGUACUAAGGUAGGGCGCAGUCGGGUACCGUAGGCAACGGGGGAAAGCAUGACGGAACAGGCGGAAGUCAGUUGCGGCGGCCUUGGGAUCGUAAUGAUCUGUUAUUGGUGAAGAACCACUGUGUCAGUAAACAUGGCCUUAUUGACGGUAACUAAUAAGGAAGCAACGGCUAACUACGUG